Molecule: long non-coding RNA, 2464 nt
Organism: Eucalyptus grandis
Lineage: Eukaryota; Viridiplantae; Streptophyta; Magnoliopsida; Myrtales; Myrtaceae
Exons: 2
Source: RefSeq, a predicted model, not a curated record
CGCUCACUAGCUGCUGCUCCUCCUUCAUCGUUUGAUGAGGGCUUCGGCGAGAGCCACCCCUCGCAGAUCUGGGCGACGGCUGCUUGAGGCUCGAGUGCGACAGCUCGCUCGAGCCAGCGCUUGCCCACAUCUGCGAGACGCUCGCUCGAGCGAGCCCUCGUGCUUGAGCCCUGAGCGAGCGUUGCUCGGACAGAUCUGCGGCAGAUCUGGGUGAUGGCUGCUCGCUCGAUUUGCUCUUCUCGCUCGGCAGAGCAGUGACGCUUGCUUGAGCUGCUCUACAGCUUUCAAAAUAUAGAUGAGGACAUGGAUUAUUCUUCCAUUGCUACACAUCAAACUUUUUUCAAUUCCAUGUUCAAUUUUCUUUCUCUUUCUUUCUUUGUGUGGGAAAGAUGGAUUUUUUGCUGUUCGUUGCUCAUAUUUUCUACCACGUUGGCCUUUUUGCGAGUAUCAAGAAUUUCUAACCCCCUAAUUACCUAGCAAAAGAAAAAAGGUUGUUCUUCUAAUUUCUUCUGUAGCUUCCUAUUAUUAGUCUUAAAGAUGGACGAGGAAAGGUCAUCGUUCUCUUAUGCGAUACUUGUGAAAUUGAAGUAGGCAAAAUUUUGGAGAGCUGUGAGGAUUGAUGUUUAGUAUUAAAUGACAUAGCUUGUGGAUACUAUCUUAGUGUGAGUUACGGACUCAGCUCUUUCCUCCACUCGCAGUGCAAGAUUCUCAUUUCUUUUUUGCAUUGAAUAUUUUUUCCUUGUCAUGGAAGAAAUUUUCUUUGUUAUGAUUAUGUGACAUUUUGUCUGGGGAAACUAUUUUCUAGUGUGGCUAGACGGGACCAUGAGGGGCGUCGUCUUUUUCCACAUAGUUUGACCUUUUCGUCCUGAUUCAAUAGGGAGGCUUUUGUUGAUUGAUCUUGGAACCUGUCAAGAGUGACAGUGUUUUCACUCUACCCAGUAGAUGAAUGGCUCACCGUGAGUUGCUUCUUUUUUACGAGCCUCUAAUUUUUCCUUUUGGAGAAUCAUUUAUAGUUUUUAUCUUUAGUUGGCUAUAGAUGGCUUUUUAUGUACUUUCAAAUCUACUGGCAAUUAAGAGGAAGGUUAUGAUGUGUGCCUUAUAUGGGGGAACAUGCAUUGGAUUAUGAUGUGAUAGACAAAUUGUUGUAAUCAUGGAUGAAAUUGCAUUGCCUUUCUCCAUGUCUAUUUGUACCAAUGUUCUAAGAGCUUGGAGUUAGUUUUGCUACAUAGUGAAGAGUCGGGUUCACCACUUCGUCUUCUGUUUGUCUCCCCCUUGAUAUAUCGAAAGCAUGUAGAAUUUCUGCUGGUGCAUAUAGGAAAGAGGACAUAGAGUUUUCUAUCUGCUAUAACCUUGGCUGCUUAGUGCUUGGAUGUUCUACAAAUUACACAUCUGAAAAGAGCAUCUAAUGGUAGGUGGUAUCUGAUGAUUGGCACGUAAUCUGUUGGAGCAUGUGCAUUUGCAUGUCGAGGGAAGCAAGAUUGAUCUAUUCAGUAUGAACUGGUUAUGGGGGAUGCCGCCAGUUCUGGAUUCUUGUGCAAGUUGAUGAGUGUUGUCUGAUGCAGCAUAGAUUUAGUUCAUUUAUUGGUCUUGUGAAGUGGAUUGAUCUGUAAAGGAGCACAUUAGAUGAAAUCAAUACUUGACAGUGGAGCUGAAAGUGUUAAGGGCUAACAGUGCACGUCUGUCAGUCAUAUCUUAUGCUAUAAGAAGUUGGAAAAAGGGUAAAGAUGGCUAUGUAUGAUGUUGAAGAAUUACAAGUUACUAGAAUGAUUUGUAGAUAAUUAGAUAAGGCUAAAAUUCAGUAGGUAGUGCAGAACCUUACGUAUAGUUUUGAUGAUACAUCAAAACCAUGCCAAAGUGGCGAGUCAAUUGUCUUUUGGUGCUUGCCAUGCACAAAUACUGAAACAGCCCAUGCCUGCAUAGGGAGUUCACUCAUUCCAGUCAUGCUUAUGGAUUAUGGCAUCUUCUUUCUCAUAUCAAUUUUAUGUUCAUUAUUACGGCCUUUAAAUCCUUUUUUUUUUUCGGGGGUGAGUCUAGGUAGAUUGAGGUGUUACUCUGAGUGAGGCUCUUCUUAGUCAUGACAAAUGGCUUGAAAAGAAGGGCAUAAAGAACACAAAUUUUGCUGUUGUUACCUGGUCCAACUGGGAUUGUUGGGUGAUGUUGGAAUCUGAGUGUUGUUAUAAGAAAAUUCGAAAGCCUUCUUACUUCAACAGAUGGAUUAACCUAAAAGUCCCAUUCUAGGAAGUUUUCGGAGGUCUAAGAUGUAAUCUUAAGGAGGCGGUUGAGAUGGCUGGCUUGACCUGGCUCGGGCAUGCUCAUUGUGGUUUAGAUGAUGCAAAAAACACAGCUCGCUUGCUUAUGGUUCUUUUGUGUAGGGGAAUCAGAUUUUCCAUCACCAACUCUCUGACAUUGUAUGACAAUGACCAUACUCUGAUAUCAAAGCACUUGCCUCCCCAUCAGCCGCACA